GCACUGAGAGCUCUGUAGCUGGGCCGGGAAGGGACCCAAAUCUCCCUAGUUUCAGCGCGGUAUCCUGGUCACCAGGCUGCUCUCACAAACACUGUUAGCAGCUUUAAUGCACUGCAGGGUGCAUCCCAGCCGGGAUCCCCAGCCAAACACCUUGUAUAGCGUGGGCACAUCCUACAAAGGCACCCUUUGCAUACCCAAAGACAAACAAAACAUUACAAAUCUAGUUUUGCCACAUUUCCUGAAGUUUUUCAACUUGAGUUUUAUAAACUGAACCCUGCGUACCAAAGCGUGGUACUCUUCUCACAUCAGGAACUAAGCCAAAACUCGGCGGUCCAUCCCAGGCAGGUGAUCAGCCGUCUGGACCCGAAACCCACACAGCUCUGUGUUGACGUGCUGGAUUUCCUUAUCCCACCUGCAGCCGCCCAGCACCAGCUCCCCCAGCGCAUCAGGACUUAGUCAUCCUGCGAGCCCCAUCCCUCCUGGGCGCGUGGGUAAACCCGCUCACCAGGAGAUGAAGCGAGCUCUGCUUUUCCUGCAACAAACCCAGCCUACCCACUCCCUGUGCUGAAACCAGCCCCGGCAUCACCUGCACAGCACCACACCAGUCCCCGCUCCCGGUCACAGAUGUGGCAGGCGAGGAAAGCCACGACUUCGCAGGACCCUUUUCAGCCAGCUCUGGUUUGGAGCGUAUCAGGAACAACCCAGCCCUUCCAAAAGCCCUGCACAGCAGCACCGCCACGAUCCAAGAAGCUGCUGCUGCUGCUUUCCAAGGUUCACGAGCAGCAUUUGGAUCCCAGAAAGCUACAGGUGCACUCCUGUACCACCGGGCUCUGCCGAGCUGCCCCAAGGCUUCUGCUCACAAACCUCUCAAAUCCGGGCAAAUCCCAAAGCCACGAGGGGCAGAAAGGGAAGGAGCCUCUGUUGCACCCCACAGCUUUAGAACUCUGUUUCCAGCCCACAGUUGGCUGCCAGAGCCUCUCAUCCACAGCUCUGAGGGCUGUUUUACCCAGAGGUCUCGCCUUGUCUCAGGUUUAAAUGCCAUUACAACAAAUCUAGGUCUCAGCACUGUGAAAGAAGGAAUAUAAGUUCGCUGCAUUCCUGUUUUAUAUGGAGUUACCAGAUUUAUAGCUUGACUAUAUAAUCUUUUAAUUUUCUCUCGUUUAUUGCAGUAAUUGCCCUUUCUAGAAUUCACCAGACAAAGGCAGUAAUUCAAAUAACCUCAUUUUCCCACUGAUUUAAACGACAACCCUAGGCUGGCUGCUGUGAUUCAGUACAUCUCAGCCAGCCUUGCAGGUGUAGGUAUGAUGCUGCACCAAACUGUGCCUGCCUGAACCAGAAAGGCAGGGGUGAGAACACACCACCCCACUCUCGCAGAGAGCCGGUUCCUGCAUUAGCCCACGCACAGAACCGUCAUUUAUUCAGCACAUUUUGUCAUACUGCUUCUGUGAUCGCUGUUACCUGCUAGGAACAAGCGACCGCCCUAGCUGUGAGACUUUUUGGCCAACAUACACACCAAAAAACAUCCAAGGAAACCCAAAGCUAACCAAGAGAGAGCCACGAGGGGAGAAAAAAAAUAUGGAUGUGGGUUAAGCUCUGGAUUUAAGGGGUUUGGCUCCUGAUGGGGGACACAGGCAGACCUGAGGGGGUGAUGGCAACUUAUAUCAAGGAGCUGUCGUUUAACGCCGAUAUCACAAUGAAACUUGGCUUUCCUCCUGCCCAUUCUCAACCCUAUUUGUGUUGCAAGUGUUCUGAGGCAGAAGAUUCUGAUUUCUGGACACUUGUUAAUGUUGUGGCAUCACAAACACAGCAUGAGCUUCUAGUCGAGACUACAAGGCAAAUAAUAAAAUAUUUAUCCUACCGUCUGUGCUUGCAUCUUCUGCAAAUGAACCUGUCAAAACUCAAUCUAGCAACCUACAGUUGAAGCCUUA
Oxyura jamaicensis (ruddy duck) is the source of this 1928-nucleotide long non-coding RNA. RefSeq lists it as uncharacterized. NCBI's taxonomy places the organism in Eukaryota, Metazoa, Chordata, Aves, Anseriformes, Anatidae. The transcript has 2 exons. The record is from RefSeq and is a predicted model, not a curated record.